Long non-coding RNA from Anoplophora glabripennis (Asian longhorned beetle), 392 nucleotides. RefSeq lists it as uncharacterized. The transcript is spliced from 2 exons. The record is from RefSeq and is a predicted model, not a curated record. NCBI's taxonomy places the organism in Eukaryota, Metazoa, Arthropoda, Insecta, Coleoptera, Cerambycidae.
AUGAAUUUUUAAGAAUGCCAUUUGGGCUAUCCAACGCUCCCGCAACAUUUCAAAGAUUGUUAAAUACAUUGUUUUCCAAAUUAUGUCACGAUAAGGAAACCAUAUAAAUCACAGGGACGAUGCGGCCAAGGGCGAAAGAAGACGAGGUCGUCCAAGUAGUCAGGAUCGCCAAAUGUUGCAUCAACCCAUUACGUAGUAUAGUUCAUAUUCUAUUAUUGUUCUUUGCACGUUCAGAUAUUGUUUUUGUAGGUUUAAUUUCUUUGUAAAGUAAAAAGUAUUUUAUGUAAUUCAUACGUUUGAUAUUUGUCCGUUAAUUUAUCAGGAGAGCAUUAUAUUUUCUCUCGCGAUACAAGCAAGACAUGUUUUGUAAAUAAAUUGUAGUCAUAUGAAAA